GGAUAACCUUGCGAAAGUAAGACUAAUACCCAAUGACGUCUCUAGAAGACAUCUGAAAGAGAUUAAAGAUUUAUCGGUGAUGGAUGGGGAUGCGUCUGAUUAGCUUGUUGGCGGGGUAACGGCCCACCAAGGCGACGAUCAGUAGGGGUUCUGAGAGGAAGUUCCCCCACAUUGGAACUGAGACACGGUCCAAACUCCUACGGGAGGCAGCAGUGAGGAAUAUUGGUCAAUGGGCGAGAGCCUGAACCAGCCAAGUAGCGUGCAGGAUGACGGCCCUAUGGGUUGUAAACUGCUUUUAUAAGGGAAUAAAGUGGGUCACGUGUGACUUUUUGCAUGUACCUUAUGAAUAAGGACCGGCUAAUUCCGUGCCAGCAGCCGCGGUAAUACGGAAGGUCCGGGCGUUAUCCGGAUUUAUUGGGUUUAAAGGGAGCGUAGGCCGGAGAUUAAGCGUGUUGUGAAAUGUAGACGCUCAACGUCUGCACUGCAGCGCGAACUGGUUUCCUUGAGUACGCACAAAGUGGGCGGAAUUCGUGGUGUAGCGGUGAAAUGCUUAGAUAUCACGAAGAACUCCGAUUGCGAAGGCAGCUCACUGGAGCGCAACUGACGCUGAAGCUCGAAAGUGCGGGUAUCGAACAGGAUUAGAUACCCUGGUAGUCCGCACGGUAAACGAUGGAUGCCCGCUGUUGGUCUGAAUAGGUCAGCGGCCAAG
Molecule: ribosomal RNA, 709 nt
Filed under: uncultured bacterium
Lineage: Bacteria
Description: bacterial SSU rRNA
Rfam family: Bacterial small subunit ribosomal RNA
Source: RNAcentral